AGAGUUUGAUCAUGGCUCAGAGCGAACGCUGGCGGCGUGCUUAACACAUGCAAGUCGAGUGCGCGCCUGUAGCAAUACAGGUGGCGCACGGCGCACGGGUGCGUAACACGUGGGUAAUCUGCCCUUCGAUGGGGAAUAACUCCGGGAAACCGAAGCUAAUUCCGCAUAACAUUCCUUGAACCUCGGUUUGGGGACUCAAAGCCGUAAGGCGUCGGAGGAGGAACCCGCGCACGAUUAGCUAGUUGGUAGGGUAACGGCCUACCAAGGCUUUGAUCGUUAGCUGGUCUGAGAGGAUGGCCAGCCACACUGGAACUGAGACACGGUCCAGACUCCUACGGGAGGCAGCAGUGGGGAAUCUUGCACAAUGGGCGAAAGCCUGAUGCAGCGACGCCGCGUGGGGGAUGAAGCUUUUCGGAGUGUAAACCCCUUUCGACCCGGACGAAUGUCCCGCAAGGGAACUGACGGUACGGGUAUAAGAAGCCCCGGCUAACUACGUGCCAGCAGCCGCGGUAAGACGUGGGGGGCCAGCGUUGCUCGGAAUUACUGGGUGUAAAGGGUUCGUAGGCGGUGUAGCAAGUCGGGAGUGAAAUCUCUGGGCUCAACCCAGAGACUGCUUCCGAAACUGCUGUGCUUGAGUGUGGGAGAGGCGCGUGGAAUUGCAGGUGUAGCGGUGAAAUGCGUAGAUAUCUGCAGGAACACCCGUGGCGAAAGCGGCGCGCUGGACCACUACUGACGCUGAGGAACGAAAGCUAGGGGAGCAAACAGGAUUAGAUACCCUGGUAGUCCUAGCCCUAAACGAUCAGGACUUGGGGUGCCGCACGUUCGUGCGUCGUCCCGGAGCUAACGCGUUAAGUCCUGCACCUGGGGAGUACGGUCGCAAGACUGAAACUCAAAGGAAUUGACGGGGGCCCGCACAAGCGGUGGAACAUGUGGUUCAAUUCGACGCUACGCGAGGAACCUUACCUGGGCCUCGAAGCCCCACUUGACUAGCUUUAGAAAAAUGGC
This 1005-nucleotide ribosomal RNA is filed under the name uncultured bacterium. RNAcentral's name for it is "bacterial SSU rRNA". It matches the Rfam family "Bacterial small subunit ribosomal RNA", at positions 8 to 1012 of the family's 1533-position model. The record is from RNAcentral.